UGCCAGCCGCCGCGGUAAUACGGAGGGUGCAAGCGUUAAUCGGAAUUACUGGGCGUAAAGGGCGCGUAGGUUGUUUAGCAAGUUGGCUGUGAAAGCCCCGGGCUUAACCUGGGAGGGUCAGUCAAAACUGCUAGACUAGAGUGUGGUAGAGGGUAGUGGAAUUUCAGGUGUAGCGGUGAAAUGCGUAGAGAUCUGAAGGAACACCAGUGGCGAAGGCGGCUACCUGGACUAACACUGACACUGAGGCGCGAAAGCAUGGGUAGCGAACAGGAUUAGAUA
Molecule: ribosomal RNA, 279 nt
Filed under: uncultured bacterium
Lineage: Bacteria
Description: partial 16S ribosomal RNA
Rfam family: Bacterial small subunit ribosomal RNA
Source: RNAcentral